Molecule: ribosomal RNA, 638 nt
Filed under: uncultured fungus
Lineage: Eukaryota; Fungi
Description: eukaryotic LSU rRNA
Rfam family: 5.8S ribosomal RNA (bases 180-333)
Source: RNAcentral
UCCGUAGGUGAACCUGCGGAAGGAUCAUUAGUGAAUCUAGGGUGUCCAAUUUAACUUGGAGCCCGAACUCUCACUUUCUAACCCUGUGCAUCUGUUAUUGGUUAGUAGCUCUUCGGAGUGAACUCCAUUCACUUACAAACACAAAGUCUAUGAAUGUAUACAAAAUUAUAACAAAACAAAACUUUCAACAAUGGAUCUCUUGGCUCUCGCAUCGAUGAAGAACGCAGCGAAAUGCGAUAAGUAAUGUGAAUUGCAGAAUUCAGUGAAUCAUCGAAUCUUUGAACGCACCUUGCGCUCCUUGGUAUUCCGAGGAGCAUGCCUGUUUGAGUGUCAUGAAACUCUCAAACCCAAGUUUUGGAUUUCGAUCCAUGCUUGAGUUUGGAUUUGGAUGUUUGCCGGUGAUAAGCCGACUCAUCUUAAAAGUAUUAGCUAGAUCUGUCUCUAUGACUGGUUUGACUUGGCAUAAUAAGUAUUUUGCUGAGGACAUCUUCGGAUGGCCAGGACCUAGACUAUUGUCUGCUAACUAAACCAUCACUUUAAGUGCAUCUUUGGAUGUUACUCAUUGUGUAACUUUGACAUCUGGCCUCAAAUCAGGUAGGACUACCCGCUGAACUUAAGCAUAUCAAUAAGCGGAGGAA